RNAcentral lists this long non-coding RNA (767 nucleotides) under Equus caballus (horse). RNAcentral's name for it is "lncRNA (ENSECAG00000054467.1)". The record is from RNAcentral. Lineage: Eukaryota; Metazoa; Chordata; Mammalia; Perissodactyla; Equidae.
GAGCACAGGCUGAGCAGGGCCUGGCCAGCCAACUAAAGACCUUGGCUUCCGCCUGAGCAAGACAGGCGCCACGGGAGGGCUCUGACCCGAGCAGCACCAUGAUGCCUCAUGACCAGUAAGAAGGUCCUCUAAUGUGAGCACAGACUGGAGGGUGCAAGGAAGGAGGAGGAGGAAGCUGCGGUGAUGCGGGAAUGAGAAGUGGAUCAAUGCCAAUGGUGUUAGUGACCGUGUUGGAACCACAGUGAUGCUCCGGGACGAAGAUAAGCCUGUGAUGCUGCGGCUCUUGCUCCGAGGAGCAAAGGUUGCCUGUGUGGGGCCUGCAGGGGGAAGGUCCUGUCCCAGGGAAGAAGGCUUUGGAAGAGGAACGGAGGAGGAAAUUUGGGCUCUAGAAAUCUAAGUGGAACACACCGCUGGUUUCAAACACGCUUUUCUUCUCUGUGACUUCCAAGACAGGUUUUCACUCAGGUGUCCCUUGGUGCCUUCAAGGUCAUCAUGUCUAAAGCCAUCACCUCUGCUUGGCUGCUCCUCGGCAAAGGCCCCUCAUCUCCAGGAGGGGACGAGAGCUGCGUGGACUCCCAGGUUCAACAGAGCUUUGGAAAUCGCUCUUGCACCCUCUCCUCUCCCCCAACACUGAGUCAGGUAGCAAACCACCAGUUCCUCCUCCUGAACACGCCAGCCUCCCGCGGCGGUGGCUUGCUUUCGUGGCUUUCAUCCAGGGCCUCAUCAUCUCACAGUUGGCGAGUUUUCAGUUGGGAAGGACCAGGUCG